This 429-nucleotide ribosomal RNA is filed under the name Chloroflexota bacterium. RNAcentral's name for it is "Chloroflexi bacterium partial 16S ribosomal RNA". It matches the Rfam family "Bacterial small subunit ribosomal RNA", at positions 355 to 776 of the family's 1533-position model. The record is from RNAcentral. Lineage: Bacteria; Bacillati; Chloroflexota.
UGGGGAAUAUUGCACAAUGGGCGCAAGCCUGAUGCAGCCAUGCCGCGUGUAUGAAGAAGGCCUUCGGGUUGUAAAGUACUUUCAGUCGGGAGGAAGGUGGUAAGGUUAAUAACCUUGGCAAUUGACGUUACCGACAGAAGAAGCACCGGCUAACUCCGUGCCAGCAGCCGCGGUAAUACGGAGGGUGCAAGCGUUAAUCGGAAUUACUGGGCGUAAAGCGCACGCAGGCGGUUGAUUGAGUCAGAUGUGAAAUCCCCGGGCUUAACCCGGGAAUUGCAUCUGAUACUGGUAAGCUAGAGUCUUGUAGAGGGGGGUAGAAUUCCAUGUGUAGCGGUGAAAUGCGUAGAGAUGUGGAGGAAUACCGGUGGCGAAGGCGGCCCCCUGGACAAAGACUGACGCUCAGGUGCGAAAGCGUGGGGAGCAAACAGG